Molecule: ribosomal RNA, 167 nt
Filed under: Dipteryx panamensis
Lineage: Eukaryota; Viridiplantae; Streptophyta; Magnoliopsida; Fabales; Fabaceae
Description: 5.8S ribosomal RNA
Rfam family: 5.8S ribosomal RNA
About the family: 5.8S ribosomal RNA (5.8S rRNA) is a component of the large subunit of the eukaryotic ribosome. It is transcribed by RNA polymerase I as part of the 45S precursor that also contains 18S and 28S rRNA. Functionally, it is thought that 5.8S rRNA may be involved in ribosome translocation.
Source: RNAcentral
UCGCAGAACGACUCUCGGCAACGGAUAUCUCGGCUCUCGCAUCAUGAAGAAGUAGCGAAAUGCGAUACCUGGUGUGAAUUGCAGAAUCCCGCGAACCAUCGAGUCUUUGAACGCAAGUUGCGCCCGAAGCCACCAGGCCGAGGGCACGUCUGCCUGGGCGUCACGCG